RNAcentral lists this ribosomal RNA (469 nucleotides) under uncultured bacterium. RNAcentral's name for it is "SSU rRNA". It matches the Rfam family "Bacterial small subunit ribosomal RNA", at positions 26 to 518 of the family's 1533-position model. The record is from RNAcentral.
AGAACGAACGCUGGCGGCAUGCCUAACACAUGCAAGUCGAACGCUCUUGGGGCUUCGGUCUCAGGGGAGUGGCGCACGGGUGAGUAGCGCGUGGGAACCUGCCCUGUUGUGGGGGAUAACCGAGGGAAACUUCGGCUAAUACCGCAUAAGCCGGUUGUCUUGAAGGAGAUGGCCGGGAAAGAUUUAUCGCGACAGGAGGGGCCCGCGUCGGAUUAGCUAGUUGGUGGGGUAACGGCCCACCAAGGCGGUGAUCCGUAGCUGGUCUGAGAGGAUGAUCAGCCACACUGGGACUGAGACACGGCCCAGACUCCUACGGGAGGCAGCAGUGGGGAAUAUUGGACAAUGGGCGCAAGCCUGAUCCAGCAAUGCCGCGUGAGUGAUGAAGGCCUUAGGGUUGUAAAGCUCUUUCGCCCGCGACGAUGAUGACGGUAGCGGGAGAAGAGCCCGGCUAACUCGUGCCAGCAGCCGC